UAAGCUAGAAGAUUGUGACAC
This 21-nucleotide non-coding RNA is filed under the name Caenorhabditis elegans. Lineage: Eukaryota; Metazoa; Nematoda; Chromadorea; Rhabditida; Rhabditidae. The record is from RNAcentral.